Molecule: long non-coding RNA, 5218 nt
Organism: Marmota monax (woodchuck)
Lineage: Eukaryota; Metazoa; Chordata; Mammalia; Rodentia; Sciuridae
Exons: 4
Source: RefSeq, a predicted model, not a curated record
AGGGCGCUUGGAGAUGCCGAGGGCAGGCCCCAUCAGAGCACCAACGGGAGACUGAGGUCAUGAAAGUCUAGGGAUAUCUAGGUGCCCGGACUCAGCGCUUUCGGAUUUUCCCACCUCGGUGAAGAGCUGAGACUCGCGGGUAAAAGGAAGAGCUCGCCUCACUCUCCUGUCCUGAGAGGACGGAGAUUCCCAGACCCGAAAGGGAAGGUGACUUGCUACCAUCCCACCGCGACUUCACUACUUGCGCCUCUGUUAGGACUGCGCUUCCAGCUGCGUGUCAAAGGUAGGACUCCGUGCUAGCCUGGGACUUAGCACCGCGCGGCCGCGCCGAUCCGGAUGCACCCUGUGGCCUUUAUCGAACUGGUCCCUUCCUCCUCGCAGGACCUCAGGGCAUGUGCGGAUCUACAGGACGCAGCUUCCCCGUGGGGGCUGUGGGUACGAGGCCGAGCGGAGGAGAGUGCCUCAGGAGCUCCGGAGAUCCCAGAGUCUGAAGAAUGAAGGGGGCGGGAUGCAUGGCCAACCCGCGAUCGUUUUCUUCGUGUUUUAUUUUGGGUCGAAACAAAGAAGAGAAGCUGUUAGGGAAAAAUUCAAGCCUGUCCAAGAUGGGCCGAGAUGAGACGCCCCUCGUCGAAUAGGUAGCGGGUUAAGUAAAACAUUCUGUGUGGCCUAGCUGGGAUUUUGAGCCUCAGAGGCCCCGGGCCAGCAUGGACUCUUUCCGCUCUCGCUCUCCGAGCGUCGUGGGGACCUCCCCGCGCUUGGUCUGAAAGUAACGUAGCUUGGAGUGCUUGGUCGCCGCUUGUUUACUUAAAACUGCGAAAAGGAUCAUCUUCAGCCCCAGGACGGACAGUGGAAAAGAGAGAGAAAAAGGAGCCCAGAAAAAAAGGAGCCCCUUGCCUCCCAUCUUCGGGUUUGCUUGGACCCGGCCGUCAGCCCCCGGGUUAACCCUGUUGAAGCACCUCGAGUUUCAACCCCCUCCCAACCUCUGCCCCGAAUCCUCUGUUCGCGCUGCCCACGCGGGUCCAGAGCGCUCAAGUCCCAAAGCGCAGGAGUCGGGCUGGACGCUUGCUUGGUCGGAGAGCUUGGUCAGAUGCCGAGAAGCAGAAAACUGCCCCAGAGCGCACGGACGUGUCAGACCGCGCACUGGGAGUGGUGGCAGGUGCAAGGCGGAGCCCCCGCUGCCCCCAGGUUAGCUCCCCACGCUUUCCCCUGCGUUAGGUGAGCUUUCCGACCACGGAGGAGCACAGGACAUCAAACGCAUUGACUUACUUUGAGGGAGGGAAGAGUUGGAUAUGGCCGUGGACCCUGUUGGGACAACCCGGGGCCUGGGGAGGAGGUGGCGCCGAGAGAGAGGAACUCUACCUUUUUCAGCCUUUGCCAGGUGCACACGGAUUAGAUUCUGGAACCCUCGUCGUAGGAUCUGCUCUCAGGGAAUGUCUGGCCUCCGGGUUUGUACGGAAGGGCUCUGGGACUCCCGGAAGCCCAAAUGUGUACGGAAGAUUGUAGAUGUGCUUUUUGGGAAGCCCGUCGUCUCAGGUUUGCAAUACAACAUCUAAAGAGCCAAUGAUGACUCCUCCGCCUUAAAAAGGGAGUUGCUCUAGACUGGAUUCUACUUCAACCAUCAGAUACAAAGGAAGAGGCUCGCUGGGCAGCUUAGUUUCAGGCUUGCGCUAGGAGAAGCCAAAGGAUUGAGGCGUUGGUAGGUGUCCUGAGGACCCCAACCCCGCUGGUUGCCUGACUUGGCGCCCACAGUAUGAGGCAGGCGUGGCACUGUGAGGCUCUGCUUUGUGCCUAGCUUUUCAGUCCCUCCACCCCACCCCCGUCUUUGUCUCUGUCGCUCUCCUGGGGAGUGUGUGUCUGUCUCAGACUUACCAUUAUCAGUUAGCCUUUGUUAGGAUUAUGCCUACAGGUGUCCUCCCUUUCGGGGUGUCUACCCAGUCACUCCUGAAGGGAGACUGCAGGGGCUGGCCAGUACAUUCCAGACAGUUCCCUUUGCCCACAUCAGUCUCUUCUCUCCUGGAGGAUGGUGCAGAGUGGCAAGGCCAGGAGAGACAGACCUCCACCUAGGAGGACUCUGGGUGUGCUGGAAGUCAUGAUCCUUGGCCUUGCAGCCCAAGUGCUUGUCCCUCACUCUGCUCCUUGAGCUCUGCAUAAGCUGCCAGGGAAGGAGAGGGACCAGGGUUAUAGGUGUUAUAGGGUACCAGCUUUCUCAACAUGUCCAAGGUUUCAGACAACUCUCUCAGGGCACUCUAGCGUCCUGUCUGUGUGCAAACUCAGGUCACUUGGCUGUCCAGAAGCCCUCAUCAUCCCAGUGGCAAGAGCAAGCACACUUUCUGGGACAUGGCAUUCAGGGCCUUCCCUACACAAUUCCAUCCCUUUCCACCUCCUCUCCCCCUUGGUCUUCCUUUUUGCCAGUGUUUGAGAACACCACUCUCAACCAGCUCCCAGAGAACUGCAGACACUCACAAUUGAAUAAUCCCCUAACAGAACAUGUGACAAAAGCUAAAAUACAACCAAGCUGGGGCAAGCCCUAAGAGGGAGUGUUUGACCCAUUAUGGUAUCAGGGAGGACUCCCGGUAAGAGGAGAUAUUUGAGCUGAGGAGGGGAAAGUCUGGGCUUUUGCAGGCUCAGGUUGGGAAAUGUGGCUUCAUGUCGUUUGCCACCCAGAUCAUCAGCACAGGACACAAUGCAGCUCUCCUGUGACAGCCUGUUACUCAGAGUCACCUGGUUUUGGGUUAGUGUCUGUCUCUGCCUCUUUCUAACUGUGCAACCUUGGGCCAGCCAUUGUUCUGCUCUGAGCCUUAUAUUUUCAAUCUAUAAACUAGGGAUGAUAGUAAUGCCAUAAAGGAGUUGUGAAGGCUAAUAAUAUUAACUUGCACACACAUAACUCUUAUAUAUACUGUUUUAAUCACUUUAUUUUUUUAUUUGUUCUAAUUAGUUAUACAUGAUAGAAGAAUGCAAUUCAAUUCAUUAUACACAAGUGGAGCACAGCUUUUCAUUUCUCUGUACACAAUUGUUUUAAUCACUUUAGACAUUAAAUACAAUAAUGUAUCAGGAGACCUGGGCUCGGGAAGAUCAUUAGCUGGGCAUUAGGGAUUCAUCCAGGAGAACCCACAGAGAACUGGAUCUGGAAGCCAUGGUGACUGGAAAGAUAGGCCAUCCAGGCAAAGGAGCAAAAAAGCCCAGAGGCAGAAGUCUCUUGGAUAAUGGAAGAGCAGGAGGGAAAUUCAGAUCAGAAUAGCACCUUCUGCCCUAGAUUCAGCUGUGAAGGACCCUGGGAUGUUCCUGGGUCCUAGAGAUAAAUAGUUGUCUUGGAAGAACAUUUUGGAGAACUUGCCUUGCUGGGUAGGAGUGCAGGGUCUUUUAGGGGCAGCUGCUAUCCCUGGUAUUCUGGAAACUUAGGGACUUGGAUCUGUAUGCAGCCCUGGCCUCUGCCUGGGCAGAUCAGGCCCAACCUUUUGGCAGGAGGGUGGGGAAAGCUUCAGCGCUGGGCUUGAUCCCAGCUUUGGUGAGUUCAGACACAGAGUCUUCAGUCCUGAAGCCAUGCACAUGUUCACUGUGUUUACUGGCCGGUGGGGGAGGACCCCAGGCACUAUGGGUCUAGUUAGGGAAAGUGGUCUUGGACAUAAUCCAGUAGUGAAAAAAGGUGAGAAAUUGCCGUUGGGUCCCUUUAGGAGGCCUCAACCUAGAUGGAUAUUGUGUGUGGCUCCCUGCAUUCCCUGAGCCCUGGCCAGGCCAAACUGUCCCCAGUGGGACACUGAACAGCUGGAACUUGGCUCUGGGUCAGUGGAUUGACAUUGUAGGAAAGACUUCAAUUUAUGCAAUGGUUCUGGGGAUGGAGAAGAAUGACAGGAAGGGGAGGAAAGGUCUCUCUGGAAAUGGCCAGGAAGUGGAGUUGACAAAGCUUAGGAGAUGCCACCAGUUAGCUACUGUGUAGAGGUCAGUGUCUCAGGCGGCUGAACUGUCCUCUAUAAGCCUGUCUUACACAAAGCUGGAGCCUAGUAAUUAACUAUCGAAGGAGUCACACCAUUGCCCUCCGAAAGCCUCAGCAGGCUUCUGUCGCUUCCACUUUUAAAGCUGUCACUAUCACAGAUUUCCUACUAUAUUCCUAUAUCUGGUUUGUGGCUGCACUUCACUGCCUGGCAUUUGCUGGCCAGAGACAAUUGACAUCUGCUUUACCCAGUGAGUAAGCAAGACCCUUCAAGUUCAGGUAAGCAGCUCUAACUCUUUUUUCAGAUUCACUUUGUCCACUCACCUCCUAGUACUUCUUCCUUGGCACCAGGGUUUCUCAAAUUUGUCAUUUAUGGUAUUGAAACAACCUAACAGAUGAACAGAAGUGGAAGAUUUCUACCAAGAAGAGAAAAGGGAGUGUCCUUCGUACCACACCCUGGACAUGCUUAGUGUUUUAUCAAUGACUUAGAAGAAGACUCAGAAGGGAAGCUGAUUGGCCUGUGACUGACCAGGAUGAGAUGCUGAUGCUGUAGCUGUCAGACCCAAGGCUUGCAUUAAUCCGUGGGCUGGGAGACUGAGCCAAAACCAACAAGAAGACAUUUAAAAAAACUGUUAUGAAAACAUUGUAACUUUACAGGAGACAAACCAAGAAAAAAAGAGUCCCCCCCAUGCCAAUUACCUGUCAUUCAUCUACUAGGUUUUCUGUUCUGUGUUUUUUCUUUUGUGUUCUUAUACAUAUACAGAAUUUGUAUGUUUACAUAGGUGGAACCAUAAUGUAUGCACAAUUCUGUGGUCUUUGUACACAGUGCAUUUGCAUUAUUUUGUAAACAGAGCUACAUGUUGCUUCUCACUCCCCCCCCCCCCCGCCCGUCUGUAAUUGUGAAUGAAAUUGUCUAGUGUUGAUCUAACCCUUUCAUGGUAUCUGAGCAAUUAGGUAAUUUCCAGUAUCUUUGAUAUAGGUGAUGCUGCCAGGGAUAUGUUUGUAUAAAGAACUUUUAAUUUCUUUUGAAGUAUUCUUAAGACAAAUGUCUAAGAGUAAGAUUUAUGGGACAUAAGCAUUUUUAUACUUCUUAAUAUAGUGCUAUGAAAUUAUCUCUAAAAGGAAAUUAUUUCUUGCAGCUCACCAUAGUCAAGAUACUUAACAUUAUCUGUCAUAUCUAAAAGUUUCCUUACACCCCUUUGUGAUAAAAUCAUUCCCCUUCAUUAUCUGUAAGCAAUCAUUGAUCUAUUCAAUGUCACUGUAGAUGACUUUGCAUUUAAUAAAAUUUUA